This 380-nucleotide ribosomal RNA is filed under the name uncultured eukaryote. RNAcentral describes it as "partial 18S ribosomal RNA". It matches the Rfam family "Eukaryotic small subunit ribosomal RNA", at positions 592 to 976 of the family's 1831-position model. The record is from RNAcentral.
CAAUAGCGUAUAUUAAAGUUGUUGCGGUUAAAAAGCUCGUAGUUGGAGUUCUGCCAGGUGCCGCCUGUCCGCCCCAGUGGUGAGUACGUGGCGCGCAUUUGGUCCUUUCAAGGGGAGCGUAUCUGCACUUUAUUGUGUGGUGCGGGAUCCUUGACUUUUACUUUGAGGAAAUAGGAGUGUUCCAAGCAGGCUCUCGUCGUGCACAGCUCAGCAUGGAAUAAUAGCAUUGGACCUCGAUUCUAAGCUGUUGGUUGCCAGAAGCGAGGUAAUGAUGAAGAGGGAUAGUUGGGGGCAUUCGUAUUUAACUGUCAGAGGUGAAAUUCUUGGAUUUGUUAAAGACGGGCUACUGCGAAAGCAUCUGCCAUGGAUGUUUUCAUUGA